Long non-coding RNA from Brassica napus (rape), 1060 nucleotides. RefSeq lists it as uncharacterized. The transcript is spliced from 2 exons. The record is from RefSeq and is a predicted model, not a curated record. Lineage: Eukaryota; Viridiplantae; Streptophyta; Magnoliopsida; Brassicales; Brassicaceae.
UUUCUUUAUUUUUUCAUAUCGUAUUAAAAACCAUCUGCAAUUUGGGAAAUCAUUUAUUUGAUACAGAUCCUUUUGGAUACUGGCUUUGUAUAAACCAGUGACUUGGCUAAUAUAUAUUUUUCUUGACUCUGAUCAUACUUUAAACUCAUCAGUCAUCUCGAAUUUGGAGAAACAAGUGAGAUGAUUAACAGUCGAUACAGUUUCUUUAGCUUGUUGCAAAGUGCAAACUAUUAUAAUUUGGUCGAAUUGAAUCUACGAGUAGUCCUGAUCCCAAUAGAUGACUGCAUCAUGUAGACUCAAAUUUAUAUUAGCUUUUUUUUUUGUUAGAUCGUUUGUUUUUUUUAGUUUAUCUCAUAUCCUCUCUUUUAUGUCAGUGAAAAAUGUUCGAGCUUCCAAGAAAAUAUCUGCUAAUCAUGUCGCUAUUGAUAGACUGACUUCUACCAUUGAAGAUGCUUAUGAUGUUAAUAAGAUUCUCUAACCACGCCUUUACAGCUCGUAAGAUUUGUUUUUGCUGCUUUCGUUAUUCAUUUUUUUCUUUUAUUGGCAGGAAAUCAUAGAGUUGAGAGCAUCUAUCGAAGAGAUGACUGAAACUAUGAAAAAACAACAGGAGAUAUUAUUGACGAUGGCUGGAACUAUGAAAAACCUACCGGUGAAAGAAACCCCAAAAGAAAAGUCUACAAUCAAAAGAGAGUGUGCUUUGGCACGGGAUUAUCAACCAAAUAAUAAGCAUACCAUUCCGUCCAUGCGGGUGUGUUCAUAUUGUAGACGUAAUGUGCUCAAACCCAUUAACAAGAACUUUAAUGGAUAUUUCUGUGGCGUCAGACUUCAGGAGCUCCCACUUAGUAGGAGGAGAUAACGGCUUAUAAUAAAUCAGCUUUUCGCUUGUACGUUGAAAUUUUCUCUUAAUAUGCAGGCUUUGUUUAACUUAUACCGUUGACAUGGAUGGCCUACCAAAGUCCAAUUUUUUUUUCUUCCUUAUAUUUUAUCUUUUUUUUUGUCUUCUUUAUAUUUUAUCUUCUUUUUUUUUAGCAAGAAUACCAGUAUUCUAUGAGUUUUGAUU